GGUGCUUGCACCUGAUUGACGAUGGAUCACCAGUGAGUGGCGGACGGGUGAGUAACACGUAGGUAACCUGCCCCGGAGCGGGGGAUAACAUUUGGAAACAGAUGCUAAUACCGCAUAACAACAAAAGCCACAUGGCUUUUGUUUGAAAGAUGGCUUUGGCUAUCACUCUGGGAUGGACCUGCGGUGCAUUAGCUAGUUGGUAAGGUAACGGCUUACCAAGGCGAUGAUGCAUAGCCGAGUUGAGAGACUGAUCGGCCACAAUGGAACUGAGACACGGUCCAUACUCCUACGGGAGGCAGCAGUAGGGAAUCUUCCACAAUGAGCGCAACCCUGAUGGAGCAACACCGCGUGAGUGAAGAAGGGUUUCGGCUCGUAAAGCUCUGUUGUUGGAGAAGAACGUGCGUGAGAGUAACUGUUCACGCAGUGACGGUAUCCAACCAGAAAGUCACGGCUAACUACGUGCCAGCAGCCGCGGUAAUACGUAGGUGGCAAGCGUUAUCCGGAUUUAUUGGGCGUAAAGCGAGCGCAGGCGGUUGCUUAGGUCUGAUGUGAAAGCCUUCGGCUUAACCGAAGAAGUGCAUCGGAAACCGGGCGACUUGAGUGCAGAAGAGGACAGUGGAACUCCAUGUGUAGCGGUGGAAUGCGUAGAUAUAUGGAAGAACACCAGUGGCGAAGGCGGCUGUCUGGUCUGCAACUGACGCUGAGGCUCGAAAGCAUGGGUAGCGAACAGGAUUAGAUACCCUGGUAGUCCAUGCCGUAACGAUGAGUGCUAGGUGUUGGAGGGUUUCCGCCCUUCAGUGCCGGAGCUAACGCAUUAAGCACUCCGCCUGGGGAGUAC
Molecule: ribosomal RNA, 838 nt
Filed under: Limosilactobacillus reuteri
Lineage: Bacteria; Bacillati; Bacillota; Bacilli; Lactobacillales; Lactobacillaceae
Description: bacterial SSU rRNA
Rfam family: Bacterial small subunit ribosomal RNA
Source: RNAcentral